Molecule: ribosomal RNA, 484 nt
Filed under: uncultured bacterium
Lineage: Bacteria
Description: partial 16S ribosomal RNA
Rfam family: Bacterial small subunit ribosomal RNA
Source: RNAcentral
AUUGAACGCUGGCGGUAGGCCUAACACAUGCAAGUCGAGCGGCAGCAGAGAGCUUGCUCCUGGCUUCAUCGGAGGUCGGGUGCGGAAUGCCUAGGCAUCUGCCUGGUCGUGGGGGAUAAGGUCCGCGAAAGGGAGCUUAUACUGCUUCCGUAUUCUGGCUGCAAGUGGGGGAUGUUUGGCCCACAAGCUCUCAGAUGUGGCUAGGCCGGAUUCGGUUGUUCGUGGGGUAAAGGCCAACCACGCCGAAGAUCCGUACCGGGUCUGAGAGGAUGAUCAGUCACACUGGAACUGAGACACGGUCCAGACUCCUACGGGAGGCAGCAGUGGGGAAUAUUGGACAAUGGGCGAAAGCCUGAUCCAGCCAUGCCGCGUGGGUGAAGAAGGUCUUCGGAUUGUAAAGCACUUUUGGUGGGAAAGAAAGGCAUCAGGCUAAUACCAUGCGAGGAUGACGUUACCAACAGAAUAAGCACCGGCUAACUUCGUG